RNAcentral lists this long non-coding RNA (111 nucleotides) under Chinchilla lanigera (long-tailed chinchilla). RNAcentral describes it as "lncRNA (ENSCLAG00000027973.1)". The record is from RNAcentral. Lineage: Eukaryota; Metazoa; Chordata; Mammalia; Rodentia; Chinchillidae.
GAGCGACCCACACGAAGGCUGAUGUCUGCGUCACCCUUGCAUCAACCUGAGGCGGCCAGACCAUUAGACAUUGGUUGCUACAGCAAGUGAAAAAACGCUGAUGAAAACAAG